This 167-nucleotide long non-coding RNA is filed under the name Meriones unguiculatus (Mongolian gerbil). Its description in RNAcentral is "lncRNA (ENSMUGG00000019713.1)". Lineage: Eukaryota; Metazoa; Chordata; Mammalia; Rodentia; Muridae. The record is from RNAcentral.
GUCAGAGCUGGGAAGAGGCCAAGAAAGAAGAGAGCAUCUCAGCGUAGCAGCCCUUGAACGGAAUCUAUCCCAGAACUUAGAAAUACUUUCUUGGACAACCGUUUCUCCAAGGAGGACGAAGCCCCCGGGACCCAUGUGACCACCCCUGAAGAAGUGACUGCCCCAGC